GUGUAGCUCAAUGGUAGAGCACUUACCUAGUAUGUGUGAGGCUCUGGGUUUGAUCCUCAGCAC
RNAcentral lists this transfer RNA (63 nucleotides) under Ictidomys tridecemlineatus (thirteen-lined ground squirrel). Its description in RNAcentral is "Spermophilus tridecemlineatus (thirteen-lined ground squirrel) tRNA". It matches the Rfam family "tRNA", at positions 5 to 66 of the family's 71-position model. Rfam says of the family: Transfer RNA (tRNA) molecules are approximately 80 nucleotides in length. The record is from Rfam by way of RNAcentral. Lineage: Eukaryota; Metazoa; Chordata; Mammalia; Rodentia; Sciuridae.